This is a non-coding RNA of Kluyvera ascorbata ATCC 33433, 39 nucleotides long. NCBI's taxonomy places the organism in Bacteria, Pseudomonadati, Pseudomonadota, Gammaproteobacteria, Enterobacterales, Enterobacteriaceae. The record is from Rfam.
UAGUUCUUUGGUUGCUAUAAAGCCAAGGGCGGUAGCGUG